Molecule: ribosomal RNA, 497 nt
Filed under: uncultured bacterium
Lineage: Bacteria
Description: partial 16S ribosomal RNA
Rfam family: Bacterial small subunit ribosomal RNA
Source: RNAcentral
GAUGAACGCUGGCGGCGUGCCUAAUACAUGCAAGUCGAGCGAACAGACGAGGAGCUUGCCCCUCUGACGUUAGCGGCGGACGGGUGAGUAACACGUGGAUAACCUACCUAUAAGACUGGGAUAACUUCGGGAAACCGGAGCUAAUACCGGAUAAUAUAUUGAACCGCAUGGUUCAAUAGUGAAAGACGGUUUUGCUGUCACUUAUAGAUGGAUCCGCGCCGCAUUAGCUAGUUGGUAAGGUAACGGCUUACCAAGGCAACGAUGCGUAGCCGACCUGAGAGGGUGAUCGGCCACACUGGAAAUGAGAAAAGGUCCAGACUCCUACGGGAGGCAGCAGUAGGGAAUCUUACGCAAUGGGCGAAAGCCUGACGGAGCAACGCCGCGUGAGUGAUGAAGGUCUUCGGAUCGUAAAACUCUGUUAUUAGGGAAGAACAAAUGUGUAAGUAACUAUGCACGUCUUGACGGUACCUAAUCAGAAAGCCACGGCUAACUACGUG